RNAcentral lists this ribosomal RNA (468 nucleotides) under uncultured bacterium. Its description in RNAcentral is "partial 16S ribosomal RNA". It matches the Rfam family "Bacterial small subunit ribosomal RNA", at positions 28 to 507 of the family's 1533-position model. The record is from RNAcentral.
GACGAACGCUGGCGGCGUGCUUAACACAUGCAAGUCGAACGGAAAGGCCCUGCUUUUGUGCUGUGCUCGAGUGGCGAACGGGUGAGUAACACGUGAGUAACCUGCCCUUGACUUUGGGAUAACUUCAGGAAACUGGGGCUAAUACCGGAUAGGAUCUCCUGCUGCAUGGUGGGGGUUGGAAAGUUUCGGCGGUUGUGGAUGGACUGGCGGCUUAUCAGCUUGUUGGUGGGGUAGUGGCUUACCGAGGCUUUGACGGGUAGCCGGCAUGAGAGGGUGACCGGCGACAUUGGGACUGAGAGAGGGAGCAGAGUGCAACGGGAGGCAGCAGGGGGGAAUAUUGCACAGUGGGCGGAAGUCUGAGGCGGCAACGUCGCGUGCGGGAUGACGGCCUUCGGGGUGUAAAACGCUGUCGCCUGAGACGAAGCGGGUGUGACGGUAAUGGGUAAAGAAGCACCGGCUAACUACGUG